Molecule: ribosomal RNA, 468 nt
Filed under: uncultured bacterium
Lineage: Bacteria
Description: partial 16S ribosomal RNA
Rfam family: Bacterial small subunit ribosomal RNA
Source: RNAcentral
GACGAACGCUGGCGGCGUGCUUAACACAUGCAAGUCGAGCGGAAGGGCCCUGCUUGCGUGGGGUGCUCGAGGGGCGAACGGGUGUGAAACACGUGAGUAACCCGCCCUUGACUGUGGGAUAACUUCAGGAAACUGGGGCUAAUACAGGCGACGAGAUCGUGAUGCAUGGUGGUGGUUGGAAAGUUUCGGAGGUGGGGGAUGGACUCGCGGCUUACCAGCUUGUUGGUUGGGGAUUUGCUAACGAAGGCAUUGGCAGCUAGCCGGCCUGAGAGGGUGGUCGGCCACAUUGGUCCUACGGGACGGCCCAGACUGCAACGGGAGGCAGCAGGGGAGAAUAUUACCCAGCGGGGCGGAGUCUGAGGCAGCAACGCCGCGUGCGUGAUGACCGUCUUCGGGUUGUAAACCGCUUUCGCCUGAAACGAAGCUGGAUUGACGGUAAUGGAUAAAGAAGCACCGGCUAACUACGUG